UCCUGGAAACGGGUGGUAAUGCCGGAUGCUCCAUCACACCGCAUGGUGUGUUGGGAAAGCUUUGCGGCAUGGGAUGGGGUCGCGUCCUAUCAGCUUGAUGGCGGGGUAACGGCCCACCAUGGCUUCGACGGGUAGCCGGCCUGAGAGGGCGACCGGCCACAUUGGGACUGAGAUACGGCCCAGACUCCUACGGGAGGCAGCAGUGGGGAAUAUUGCACAAUGGGCGCAAGCCUGAUGCGCGACGCCGCGUGAGGGAUGGAGGCCUUCGGGUUGUAAACCUCUUUUGUUAGGGAGCAAGGCACUUUGUGUUGAGUGUACCUUUCGAAUAAGCACCGGCUAACUAGGUGCCAGCAGCCGCGGUAAUACGUAGGGUGCAAGCGUUAUCCGGAAUUAUUGGGCGUAAAGGGCUCGUAGGCGGUUCGUCGCGUCCGGUGUGAAAGUCCAUCGCUUAACGGUGGAUCCGCGCCGGGUACGGGCGGGCUUGAGUGCGGUAGGGGAGACUGGAAUUCCCGGUGUAACGGUGGAAUGUGUAAGAUAUCGGGAAGAACACCAAUGGCGAAGGCAGGUCUCUGGGCCGUUACUGACGCUGAGGAGCGAAAGCGUGGGGAGCGAACAGGAUUAGAUACCCUGGUAGUCCACGCCGUAAACGGUGGAUGCUGGAUGUGGGGCCCGUUGCACGGGUUCCGUGUCGGAGCUAACGCGUUAAGCAUCCCGCCUGGGGAGUACGGCCGCAAGGCUAAAACUCAAAGAAAUUGACGGGGGCCCGCACAAGCGGCGGAGCAUGCGAUUAAUUCGAUGCAACGCGAAGAACCUUACCUGGGCUUGACAUGUUCCCGCCGAUCCCAGAGAUGGGGUUUCCCUUCGGGGCGGGUUCACAGGUGGUGCAUGGUCGUCGUCAGCUCGUGUCGUGAGAUGUUGGGUUAAGUCCCGCAACGAGCGCAACCCUCGCCCCGUGUUGCCAGCGGAUUGUGCCGGGAACUCACGGGGGACCGCCGGGGUUAACUCGGAGGAAGGUGGGGAUGACGUCAGAUCAUCAUGGCCCUUACGUCCAGGGCUUCACGCAUGCUACAAUGGCCGGUACAACGGGUUGCGACAGUGCGAGCUGGAGCGGAUCCCUGAAAACCGGUCUCAGUUCGGAUCGCAGUCUGCAACUCGACUGCGUGAAGGCGGAGUCGCUAGUAAUCGCGAAUCAGCA
RNAcentral lists this ribosomal RNA (1195 nucleotides) under Bifidobacterium breve. RNAcentral describes it as "bacterial SSU rRNA". It matches the Rfam family "Bacterial small subunit ribosomal RNA", at positions 148 to 1354 of the family's 1533-position model. Lineage: Bacteria; Bacillati; Actinomycetota; Actinomycetes; Bifidobacteriales; Bifidobacteriaceae. The record is from RNAcentral.